CCUACGGGGCGCUGCAGUGGGGGAUAUUGCACAAUGGGCGCAAGCCUGAUGCAGCCAUGCCGCGUGUGUGAAGAAGGCCUUCGGGUUGUAAAGCACUUUCAGCGGGGAGGAAGGCGUUAAGGUUAAUAACCUUGGCGAUUGACGUUACCCGCAGAAGAAGCACCGGCUAACUCCGUGCCAGCAGCCGCGGUAAUACGGAGGGUGCAAGCGUUAAUCGGAAUUACUGGGCGUAAAGCGCACGCAGGCGGUCUGUCAAGUCGGAUGUGAAAUCCCCGGGCUCAACCUGGGAACUGCAUUCGAAAGUGGCAGGCUAGAGUCUUGUAGAGGGGGGUAGAAUUCCAGGUGUAGCGGUGAAAUGCGUAGAGAUCUGGAGGAAUACCGGUGGCGAAGGCGGCCCCCUGGACAAAGACUGACGCUCAGGUGCGAAAGCGUGGGGGGCAAACAGGAUUAGAUACCCGGGUAGUC
This 465-nucleotide ribosomal RNA is filed under the name uncultured Klebsiella sp. Its description in RNAcentral is "bacterial SSU rRNA". It matches the Rfam family "Bacterial small subunit ribosomal RNA", at positions 338 to 795 of the family's 1533-position model. Lineage: Bacteria; Pseudomonadati; Pseudomonadota; Gammaproteobacteria; Enterobacterales; Enterobacteriaceae. The record is from RNAcentral.